CAUAGGAAUAAUACUAAAUACCGAGGAAAUGGAGAUCAAGGCUAUGUAAAUCGGCUUCAUUUUGGCAAUCAUUGCUUUCGUAUUCCAUCUGAUCGGGUUUGCUUCACCCUACUGGAUUAAUGCAGAUAUUGGAUCACAUUCCAUACACUACGGUCUUUGGAAAGGUUGUGGUUUAGUGUUAAAUAGUGGCUGUGGAGAUAUUAUAAAUCCAAAAGAUUGGCUUAAGGCCUCACAAGCGUUUGCCAUCCUUGCAUUUAUUUCCUUUCUAGCUGCCGUUGUGUGUUCUGCUUUAAAGCUGUUUGUCCUAAAAGACAGAAAGAUCAUCUUAUUUGCUGCCAUGGGCGCAGUGUUUGUGGGAGCGUUCUGUGUCCUUCUCUCAAUUGCUACAUACGCUGGAAAGAUGGAAGGUAUAACAGGUGGAUCCAGUCUUUUCAACUUUCACUUUGCCUUUGCGUUUUGUAUUAUUGGAAUGCUGGUCGCAAUAGCCUCUGGAGUAUGUUUUAUUCUGGAAUUAAAGAACUCAUAAAGCAGUAGGCUGGUGGUUUUUUCUUAGAUCACUUAUAGAAUUUUACAUUAGGAUUUGAAAUUGGCUUGCUUUUUUUCUUAGAUCACUUAUAGAAUUUUACAUUAGGAUUUGAAAUUGGCUUGCUUUUUUUUCUUAAAUCACUUAUAGAAUUUUACAUUAGGAUUUGAAAUUGGCUUGCUUUUUUUCUUAAAUCACUUAUAGAAUUUUACAUUAGGAUUUGAAAUUGGCUUGCUUUUUUUUCUUUUGAUUGCUUCGUAUUUUAUAUUGUACGAGUGUAUGAACGUUUAAGAAAAAAAGGACUACUGGUUUCGGCCGAGAUGAAUCAGAACGGGGAUAUCAAGAAUUCAAAAAAGAAUCUACAAUGUAUAUGUACAUCAAUAAUUUACCAAAAAAUCCAUCUGUACAUAAACAAUUUCAGCAUUUUAACUCAUUUGUUUUCUUUUAUAAUGACAUGCAUUUUUACUCUGUAAAAUUUUAGGAAAAUUAAAAAAUAGUUUUCAUGCUGCUUUGC
This is a long non-coding RNA of Saccostrea cuccullata (small rock oyster), 1037 nucleotides long. RefSeq lists it as uncharacterized. Lineage: Eukaryota; Metazoa; Mollusca; Bivalvia; Ostreida; Ostreidae. The record is from RefSeq and is a predicted model, not a curated record. The transcript has 3 exons.